UGGCAGUUCUCAUGUCUUCAUGCUGGCAUUGAAGAUCAUUAGACAUGAAUGUUAGAAUGUAACACUUCACCUUAUUGUUCACAUCUACCCACUUUUCAAGUGUGGCUCAUUGAUCAGGGGAUGGACGAGCUGGUAAUACAGAUGCAUCCUAGUCAAGGACAUGGGUUAGUUUUUUGAAACUGAGAAUGAUUCUCAAAUUUUGUGUUG
This 207-nucleotide long non-coding RNA is filed under the name Elaeis guineensis (African oil palm). RNAcentral's name for it is "long non-coding RNA (EGUI_LNC044662)". The record is from RNAcentral. Lineage: Eukaryota; Viridiplantae; Streptophyta; Magnoliopsida; Arecales; Arecaceae.